RNAcentral lists this ribosomal RNA (254 nucleotides) under uncultured bacterium. Its description in RNAcentral is "partial 16S ribosomal RNA". It matches the Rfam family "Bacterial small subunit ribosomal RNA", at positions 524 to 776 of the family's 1533-position model. The record is from RNAcentral.
UACGAAGGGGGCGAGCGUUGUUCGGAUUUACUGGGCGUAAAGGGCGCGUAGGCGGCGUGUCAAGUCAGGCGUGAAAGCCCCGGGCUCAACCUGGGAACCGCGCUUGAGACUGGCAUGCUCGAGUUCGGGAGAGGAUGGUGGAAUUCCCAGUGUAGAGGUGAAAUUCGUAGAUAUUGGGAAGAACACCGGAUGGCGAAGGCAGAUCUCUGGGCCGUAACUGACGCUGAGGAGCGAAAGCAUGGGGAGCGAACGAG